Molecule: long non-coding RNA, 650 nt
Organism: Erigeron canadensis
Lineage: Eukaryota; Viridiplantae; Streptophyta; Magnoliopsida; Asterales; Asteraceae
Exons: 2
Source: RefSeq, a predicted model, not a curated record
AUCGAGGAAGGAAGGAAGGAAGAAUCAGAAUCUCCCCCCACCAACCAACCAAAAAUACAUAAUUCUCUCAAUUCUCCCUCGCGACGGACGGCCAGACGUACGUCGGAGGCAGAUAUCGAUUUAUCCAUAACCACCGUAACCAAAGCCCAAAGGUGAGUCAGAGGUUAUAUGGAUUAUAAGUAUAGACCACAAUUACAAGAGGUUUCACUAGAGCAUGCGAGGGAAUCGCUCAUUGCCAUCUCCCACAGUCAGCCAGAAAGGUUUUCACUAAUCAAUGAACUUGAAACGACAAACACUGAAGACAUCAUUGUGGCUGCUGCUGCUGCCGAGUCUAAAGUGGAGACACUUAUCGAUGAUGAUGACGAUGAUCUGAGAUAUAAACUCAUGUCUAUUGCUACUACUUAUGUUCCAUCAAUGGUGGUGGAUUGGGCGGGCGGGUAACAACUACAAGUGCAAUUUCUAUGACGCCGAGGUUUAAUCCCUUCUGUCAUUACAACUUUUCAAAGAUAUUAGCCUUAUAUGUCUUCAAUAUCCAAAGUAUUACAUAGUGACUGCAGACCUUUAUUUAGUUCAUACUAGUUAUUGAUAGAUGUCAUAUACAUACAAUUGAAUUAUUUUUACGAUGAAGAUCAAAACCACGUUUAAUGAUA